RNAcentral lists this long non-coding RNA (310 nucleotides) under Homo sapiens (human). Its description in RNAcentral is "non-protein coding lnc-WDR11-2:2". Lineage: Eukaryota; Metazoa; Chordata; Mammalia; Primates; Hominidae. The record is from RNAcentral.
UCCACUGCAUUCUAUUGAGUACAUGUGAGUCAGAAGCCCAUCCUGUUUUAAGGGGAGAGGAAUUACACUCCACCUCUCAAUGGGUGAAUGGAUGACAAUGGAUCCGGAAUAGGAAAUGUUACAAUGGUAACAGCCAGCUGAGACCUGACCAGGGGCCCGGAGACAUUUCCAAGAGGAUGGAGGAGCCCUUCUCAGCUACAUCUCAGAAAUAAAUGCACAGCCUUCUAAGGGACUACUGUGAAAGACAAGGUGUUCUGGACUACAUAUUACAAAAGUGCCAUGUUUUACUAUGAAACCUGUCUCAUUGCCU